AGGACGAACGCUGGCGGCGUGCUUAACACAUGCAAGUCGAACGAACCUCACAUCCUUCGGGGCGUGAGGUGAGUGGCGAACGGGUGAGUAACACGUGAGCAACCUGCCCUUGACACUGGAAUAACAGUUGGAAACAGCUGCUAAUACCGGAUAUGACCUCUGACGACAUCGUCUGGAGGUGGAAAGCUCCGGCGGUCAAGGAUGGGCUCGCGGCCUAUCAGCUUGUUGGUGAGGUACGGCUCACAAGGCUUCGACGGGUAGCCGGCUGACGGACGGGCGACCGGCCACGACGUCGGGACUGGAGACGUACGGGCCCAGGACCUCCGUAACGGGAGGCCAGCGAGGUAGGGGAAUAGUUGGACACGAAGU
RNAcentral lists this ribosomal RNA (369 nucleotides) under uncultured soil bacterium. RNAcentral's name for it is "bacterial SSU rRNA". It matches the Rfam family "Bacterial small subunit ribosomal RNA", at positions 26 to 377 of the family's 1533-position model. The record is from RNAcentral.